GCCACAGACAAAUCGAACUCGUUGGAAGCAACAUAAGUUAAUUGGCUUUGAUAUUAAAUAAUUUCACACCAGAACUUCAACAAUCAAGGGCGUGUUAUUGUUUUCCAUACGGGGCGCGCACACGACGCCUGGAAGCCAUUCUAUGCUCGCGCAGCAGGUAUACUGACAGCAGCAGGAGCGAAACGCCGGCGUUGCACAGCGGUGUCACAGAGCCACCGCGCUGCGAUCACUUCGGCGACACAAUCCAAAUUUGUCGGACAUCUCAUUCUGUGCUGGAAACACUGGGAGGCAGGAAGUUUUUAAAAAACGGCCACUGCCGCCCGCAAUGUCUCGGUCGUGGGCUGGUCGUGGGUUCGUUAUGCCAGUUGUGCGUCAUUCUAAGCCGUUCUGUACAUUUAUACUGGAUAUUAAUUGGAGUCAUUUAGCUGUGCUGAUGCUGUUUGCCGUGUGUUUUGCAUCAGUGCUUCGUGACAUCGGCUGUAUUGCGUGUUUUCGCCGACGGCUUACUACCACAAUGGCGGGAUCUGCGUUCGCCGCCUUCGUGUCUCGGUGCGUCUUUGUACGUCGCACGUUCGGAUAACACUUUUUCCGACGGCUGGACAUCCUUCUUGUACCUUGGCGCUAGCUGGGUGACGGGACCUCAUCAUGAUCAGUGUAUUGCUUGCCUAUGUCUACAAGAAGCGUCACGCGUGGCCUGUGACAGCAAGCUUUUGUGGGCAGCAAGUGCUCUCCUACGAAGGCUGGCCUGCUCGGGCAGCGGCGGCAAUCAUCUUCAAGAUUUAUCCAUGAUCACCUUUGCUGCUAUUUGUCACUCUUGUUAAUUACACUUUCUGCAUCUUUUCUCAUUUAUUAGGUAAUAAAGUAUGAGUAUGUGA
Long non-coding RNA from Dermacentor andersoni, 875 nucleotides. RefSeq lists it as uncharacterized. The record is from RefSeq and is a predicted model, not a curated record. NCBI's taxonomy places the organism in Eukaryota, Metazoa, Arthropoda, Arachnida, Ixodida, Ixodidae.